RNAcentral lists this ribosomal RNA (774 nucleotides) under uncultured Neocallimastigales. RNAcentral's name for it is "partial large subunit ribosomal RNA". It matches the Rfam family "Eukaryotic large subunit ribosomal RNA", at positions 24 to 614 of the family's 3401-position model. The record is from RNAcentral. Lineage: Eukaryota; Fungi; Neocallimastigomycota; Neocallimastigomycetes; Neocallimastigales.
UAUGUGAUCGUCUCUCGCAUAUCAAUAAGCGGAGGAAAAGAAACUAACAAGGAUUCCCCUAGUAACGGCGAGUGAAGCGGGAAGAGCUCAAAUUUGAAAUCUUAAAGGGUUUCCCUUUACGAAUUGUAGUUUAAAGAAGUGUUUUCUGUUGAGGUUUUGGUAAAAGUUCUUUGGAAUAGGACAUCAUAGAGGGUGAGGAAUCCCGUAUUUGACCUUCCUUUCAACUUUGUGAUACACUUUCAAAGAGUCGGAUUGUUUGGGAAUGCAGUCCAAAAUGGGUGGUAAAUUUCAUCUAAAGCUAAAUAUUGGCGAGAGACCGAUAGCGAACAAGUACCGUGAGGGAAAGAUGAAAAGAACUUUGAAAAGAGAGUUAAACAGUACGUGAAAUUGUCAAAGGGAAGCGUUUGACACCAGUGUUGUUUUUCUGAAAAUCAAUUAAAGAACUGUUUAUGCUAAGUUGUUUAGACUUUAUCAGCUAAUCUGCUUAGUUUUGAGCUUUUCUUUAAUGCACUUUUCAGUUAACAAGUCAACAUCAAUUUCUUUUGCUGUAAAAAAGCUUGAGGAAGGUGGCUUGAGAUUCGUCUUAAGUGUUUAUAGCCUCUUGCCUAUGCAGUCGGAGAGAUUGAGGUCUGCAGCGUAGAUCCUUCGGGGCUAAAUGCAUUUGUGCUAAGUUAUAGCAUUUUAUAGACAACUUGUUGACUAUGAUUUGUCUUGUAGCUUACUCGCUUAUGUUAUUUUACCUACGCUUAGGAUGUUGAACGCGCACAGAGUCUC